GGUAAGACGGUGCCCAGCCGCCGCGGUAAUACCCGCAGCCCGAGUGGUGGUCGAUAUUAUUGAGCGUAAAGCGUUCGCAGCCGGUCUGGUAAAUCCUUGGGUAAAUCGGCCAGCUUAACUGUCGGAUUUCCGAGGUCACUGCCAGACUGGGACCCGGGAGAGGUUAGAGGUACUCCUUGGGUAGGGGUAAAAUCCUGUAAUCCUAGGAGGACCAUCAGUGGCGAAGGCGUCUAACUAGAACGGAUCCGACGGUCAGGAACGAAGCCCUGGGUCGCAAACUGGAUUAGAUACCCAGGUAGUCCAGGGUGUAAACGCUGCGAGCUUGGUGUCGGAGGUCCUACGAGGGUGUCCGGUGCCGGAGAGAAGUUGUUAAGCUCGCCGCUUGGGGAGUACGGUCGCAAGACUGAAACUUAAAGGAAUUGGCGGGGGAGCACCGCAACGGGAGGAUGCGUGAGGUUUAAUUGGAUUCAACGCCGGAAAACUCACCGGGGGCGACGGUUACAUGUGGGUCAAGCUGAUGACUUUACCCGAAUUUCCGAGAGGUGGUGCAUGGCCGUCGUCAGUUCGUACCGUAGGGCGUUCUCUCAAGUGAGAUAACGAACGAGACCCUCAUCCCCAAUUGCCACUUCAUGGGUGACCAUGGAAGCACAUUGGGGAGACCGCUACUGCUAAAGUAGAGGAAGGGGAGGUCAACGGUAGGUCAGUAUGCCCCGAAUCCCCCGGGCAACACGCGCGCUACAAAGGAUGGGACAAUGGGCUUCAACACCGAAAGGUGAAGGCAAACCCGAAACCCAUUCGUAGUUCGGAUUGAGGGCUGUAACCCGCCCUCAUGAAGCUGGAUUCCGUAGUAAUCGCGGGUCAACAUCCCGCGGUGAAUAUGCCCCUGCUCCUUGCACACACCGCCCGUCAAACCACCCGAGUUGGGUCCAAAUGAGGUUCUGCCCUGUGGUAGGCUCGAACU
RNAcentral lists this ribosomal RNA (961 nucleotides) under uncultured euryarchaeote. RNAcentral describes it as "bacterial SSU rRNA". It matches the Rfam family "Archaeal small subunit ribosomal RNA", at positions 445 to 1409 of the family's 1478-position model. The record is from RNAcentral. Lineage: Archaea; Methanobacteriati; Methanobacteriota.